AUUGAGUUUGAUCCUGGUUCAGAUUGAACGCUGGCGGCAUGCCUAACACAUGCAAGUCGAACGGUAGCAGGCCUUCGGGUGCUGACGAGUGGCGGACGGGUGAGUAAUGCGUAGGAAUCUGUCUUUUAGUGGGGGACAACCCAGGGAAACUUGGGCUAAUACCGCAUGAGCCCUGAGGGGGAAAGCGGGGGAUCUUCGGACCUCGCGCUAAGGGAAGAGCCUACGUCUGAUUAGCUAGUUGGUAGGGUAAAGGCCUACCAAGGCGACGAUCAGUAGCUGGUCUGAGAGGACGACCAGCCACACUGGGACUGAGACACGGCCCAGACUCCUACGGGAGGCAGCAGUGGGGAAUUUUUCGCAAUGGGGGCAACCCUGACGAAGCAAUGCCGCGUGGAUGAAGAAGGCCUUCGGGUUGUAAAGUCCUUUCGUGGGGGACGAAAAGGUGGUUCCUAAUACGAGCUGCUGUUGACGUGAACCCAAGAAGAAGCACCGGCUAACUCCGUGCCAGCAGCCGCGGUAAUACGGGGGGUGCAAGCGUUAAUCGGGAAUCACUGGGCGUAAAGGGUGCGUAGGCGGUACGUUAGGUCUGUCGUGA
This 595-nucleotide ribosomal RNA is filed under the name uncultured bacterium. RNAcentral's name for it is "bacterial SSU rRNA". It matches the Rfam family "Bacterial small subunit ribosomal RNA", at positions 1 to 597 of the family's 1533-position model. The record is from RNAcentral.